This 497-nucleotide ribosomal RNA is filed under the name uncultured bacterium. RNAcentral describes it as "partial 16S ribosomal RNA". It matches the Rfam family "Bacterial small subunit ribosomal RNA", at positions 28 to 507 of the family's 1533-position model. The record is from RNAcentral.
GAUGAACGCUGGCGGCGUGCCUAAUACAUGCAAGUCGAGCGAACGGACGAGAAGCUUGCUUCUCUGAUGUUAGCGGCGGACGGGUGAGUAACACGUGGAUAACCUACCUAUAAGACUGGGAUAACUUCGGGAAACCGGAGCUAAUACCGGAUGAUAUUUUGAACCGCAUGGUUCAAAAGUGAAAGACGGUCUUGCUGUCACUUAUAGAUGGAUCCGCGCUGCAUUAGCUAGUUGGUAAGGUAACGGCUUACCAAGGCAACGAUGCAUAGCCGACCUGAGAGGGUGAUCGGCCACACUGGAGCUGAGACGCGGUCCAGACUCCUACGGGAGGCAGCAGUAGGGAAUCUUCCGCAAUGGGCGAAAGCCUGACGGAGCAACGCCGCGUGAGUGAUGAAGGUCUUCGGAUCGUAAAACUCUGUUAUUAGGGAAGAACAUAUGUGUAAGUAACUGUGCACAUCUUGACGGUACCUAAUCAGAAAGCCACGGCUAACUACGUG